RNAcentral lists this ribosomal RNA (340 nucleotides) under unidentified. RNAcentral's name for it is "Lygistorrhina sp. NB-2020 partial 16S ribosomal RNA". The record is from RNAcentral.
UUUUUUAAUUGAAAACUUGUUUGAAUGGUUGAAUGAGAUAUUUACUGUUUCAUAAAAAUUUUAAUAGAAUUUUUUUUUUUAGUUAAAAAACUAAAAUGUUAAUAAAGGACGAGAAGACCCUAUAAAAUUUUAUAAUUUUUAUUUUAUAAUUUUUAAAGAAUUAAUUAAAUUUUAUUUUUAAAAUUAUUUUGUUGGGGUGAUUAUAUAAUUUAAUAAACUUAUAAUAUUUUAUACAUAAAUUUAUGAUUAAUUGAUUUUAUUUUAUGAAUUAAAAGAAAUAAUUACUUUAGGGAUAACAGCGUAAUUUUAUUUUUAAGUUCUUAUUUAUAAUAAAAAUUGC